UCUCCGUUGGUGAACCAGCGGAGGGAUCAUUACCGAGUUUACAACUCCCAAACCCCUGUGAACAUGCCUAUCGUUGCCUCGGCGGUGCCCGCUCCGGCGGCCCGCCAGAGGACCCCAAACUCUUGUUUUAUACAGUAUCUUCUGAGUAACACGAUUAAAUAAAUCAAAACUUUCAACAACGGAUCUCUUGGUUCUG
Molecule: unclassified non-coding RNA, 196 nt
Filed under: plant metagenome
Description: partial contains small subunit ribosomal RNA, internal transcribed spacer 1, and 5.8S ribosomal RNA
Source: RNAcentral